UACGUAGGUGGCAAGCGUUGUCCGGAUUUACUGGGCGUAAAGAGCGCGCAGGCGGUCGUUCAAGUCGCGUGUGAAAGCCCCCGGCUCAACUGGGGAGGGUCACGCGAUACUGAUCGACUCGAAGGCAGGAGAGGGUAGUGGAAUUCCCGGUGUAGUGGUGAAAUGCGUAGAUAUCUGGAGGAAUACCGGUGGCGAAGGCGGCAUCCUGGACCGGCAUUGACGCUGAGGAGCGAAAGCUAGGGGAGCAAACGGG
This 253-nucleotide ribosomal RNA is filed under the name uncultured bacterium. RNAcentral describes it as "partial 16S ribosomal RNA". It matches the Rfam family "Bacterial small subunit ribosomal RNA", at positions 524 to 776 of the family's 1533-position model. The record is from RNAcentral.